Molecule: ribosomal RNA, 562 nt
Filed under: Escherichia coli
Lineage: Bacteria; Pseudomonadati; Pseudomonadota; Gammaproteobacteria; Enterobacterales; Enterobacteriaceae
Description: bacterial LSU rRNA
Rfam family: Bacterial large subunit ribosomal RNA
Source: RNAcentral
CCUUGGCAGUCCAGGCGAUGAAGGACGUGCUAAUCUGCGAUAAGCGUCGGUAAGGUGAUAUGAACCGUUAUAACCGGCGAUUUCCGAAUGGGGAAACCCAGUGUGUUUCGACACACUAUCAUUAACUGAAUCCAUAGGUUAAUGAGGCGAACCGGGGGAACUGAAACAUCUAAGUACCCCGAGGAAAAGAAAUCAACCGAGAUUCCCCCAGUAGCGGCGAGCGAACGGGGAGCAGCCCAGAGUCUGAAUCAGUGUGUGUGUUAGUGGAAGCGUCUGGAAAGGCGCGCGAUACAGGGUGACAGCCCCGUACACAAAAAUGCACAUGCUGUGAGCUCGAUGAGUAGGGCGGGACACGUGGUAUCCUGUCUGAAUAUGGGGGGACCAUCCUCCAAGGCUAAAUACUCCUGACUGACCGAUAGUGAACCAGUACCGUGAGGGAAAGGCGAAAAGAACCCCGGCGANGGGAGUGAAAAAGAACCUGAAACCGUGUACGUACAAGCAGUGGGAGCACGCUUAGGCGUGUGACUGCGUACCUUUUGUAUAAUGGGUCAGCGACUUAUAU